UUGAAUAGGUAAACUAGCAUCCCAUAAAU
Molecule: small RNA, 29 nt
Filed under: Bombyx mori (domestic silkworm)
Lineage: Eukaryota; Metazoa; Arthropoda; Insecta; Lepidoptera; Bombycidae
Description: ovarian small RNA-37645
Source: RNAcentral